This 253-nucleotide ribosomal RNA is filed under the name uncultured bacterium. RNAcentral's name for it is "partial 16S ribosomal RNA". It matches the Rfam family "Bacterial small subunit ribosomal RNA", at positions 524 to 776 of the family's 1533-position model. The record is from RNAcentral.
UACGGAGGGUGCAAGCGUUGUUCGGAAUCAUUGGGCGUAAAGCGCGUGUAGGCGGCCCGCGAAGUCGGAUGUGAAAUCCCUUAGCUCAACUAAGGAAAGCCAUUAGAUACUGGCGGGCUUGAGUACGGGAGAGGAGAGUGGAAUUCCCAGUGUAGAGGUGAAAUUCGUAGAUAUUGGGAGGAACACCGGUGGCGAAGGCGGCUCUCUGGACCGAUACUGACGCUGAGACGCGAAAGCGUGGGGAGCAAACAGG